This is a long non-coding RNA of Tupaia belangeri chinensis (Chinese tree shrew), 816 nucleotides long. RefSeq lists it as uncharacterized. The transcript has 3 exons. Lineage: Eukaryota; Metazoa; Chordata; Mammalia; Scandentia; Tupaiidae. The record is from RefSeq and is a predicted model, not a curated record.
CCAUUCUUCUCAAUGUUACAAUACUGAUUAUUUUAACAUUGUGUCUGAAGUUUUUGUGAAUUAAAAGGUAUAAGAUUGUACAUCUACACAUAUGUGUUUACAAUGUGAAAAAGACGAUAACGACAUAUAUAAUUAUAUUACUUGAGUAGAGAAUUGACUGGAAGAACAUGCAGAAUUUAGCUGUCCAGGAUACCGAGAUGAAAAUAGAAUGACUGCAUCUACUUUCUGCUUUUGAAAUUUUAAAAAGGUAUUUCAAAGUAAACAUUAAAACUACAGAUGCAAUUUAAAGAGACAGUUGAUUUGGCUCUCUUCGUCCCUGCUGAUAAACAUCGCGGGAGCAUUUUGCUGCUGAAUCCAACUUUGUAUUCCAGUGGCCAUUAGGAAUGGUUUCCAAGUGCUCUCACAAAGAAUAUGUGGUUUAAACCCAGAGCAGAAGACUCUCACACGGGAAGAGUAUUUGAUUACCCUAGGCAUGGGGGAACAAGGUGGAAUUUGAGGUGGUCAUGAUGAGAGAGAGACAUGUUUGCAACUCUCCUGAGUACAGCUGAAAUCAGGAACAUCUCCCCCUCUUCACUGCAAGCCGUGUUUUGACUGAGAGGAGCAUGUACUGCUGCUUCUACCCCCAGAUUCGUAAAAACCAAAAUGCUGUCUUCAUAAGGCAUGGAGAGUCCACCUGCAUUUGUGGCAGUGUUCUUUCCUUACUGAUCAGCAAAGCUGCUAGCAAAGCAUAUAUUUGGAAAGUGAUAGCAAAAAAAUAUAAUUGAAGAAAAUUUUAACUACACACAAUUUCGUUGUUGCUGCUGCACGGAAUCUCUG